RNAcentral lists this ribosomal RNA (395 nucleotides) under uncultured bacterium. RNAcentral's name for it is "partial 16S ribosomal RNA". It matches the Rfam family "Bacterial small subunit ribosomal RNA", at positions 523 to 918 of the family's 1533-position model. The record is from RNAcentral.
AUACGUAGGUGGCAAGCGUUGUCCGGAAUUACUGGGUGUAAAGGGCGUGUAGGCGGGGGUGCAAGUCAGAUGUGAAAUUCCUGAGCUCAACUCGGGCGCUGCUUCUGAAACUGCAGGACUUGAGUGCUGGCGGGGCUGGUAGAAUUCCUGGGGUAGCGGUAAAAUGCGUAGAUAUCAGGAGGAAUACCGGUGGCGAAGGCGGUCAUCUGGCUCAUUAUUGACGCUGAAGCACGAAAGCGUAGGUAGCGAACAGGAUUAGAUACCCUGGUAGUCUACGCUGUAAACGAUGUAUGCUUGGUGUUAUGCGUUUAUGCGCGUAGUGCCGUAGGAAAUCUGGUAAGCAUACCACCUGGGGAGUACGAAUGCAAGUUUGAAACUCAAAUGAAUUGACGGGG